AUUGUUAAAAAUUUGGGUUUCUGUUUAACUAGAAAAAAAUAUGUGUUAUGUUAUAUGUGAUAAUGUCCCAUACCAUCUGCA
Molecule: long non-coding RNA, 81 nt
Organism: Gavialis gangeticus (Gharial)
Lineage: Eukaryota; Metazoa; Chordata; Crocodylia; Gavialidae
Exons: 3
Source: RefSeq, a predicted model, not a curated record